CCUACGGUGGGCAGCAGUGAGGAAUAUUGGUCAAUGGCCGAGAGGCUGAACCAGCCAAGUCGCGUGAGGGAAGACGGCCCUACGGGUUGUAAACCUCUUUUGUCGGGGAGUAAAGCGAACCACGUGUGGUUCAUUGAGAGUACCCGAAGAAAAAGCAUCGGCUAACUCCGUGCCAGCAGCCGCGGUAAUACGGAGGAUGCGAGCGUUAUCCGGAUUUAUGGGGUUUAAAGGGUGCGCAGGAGGAGGUGAAAGUCAGCGGUCAAAUUUCGGGGCUCAACCCCGUACUGCCGUUGAAACUGCAUGCAUUGAGUGCGCUAGAGGUAUGCGGAAUGCGUGGUGUAGCGGUGAAAUGCAUAGAUAUCACGCAGAACUCCGAUUGCGAAGGCAGCAUACCGGCGCGCAACUGACGCUCAUGCACGAAAGCGUGGGUAUCGAACAGGAUUAGAUACCCCUGUAGUC
Molecule: ribosomal RNA, 459 nt
Filed under: uncultured bacterium
Lineage: Bacteria
Description: partial 16S ribosomal RNA
Rfam family: Bacterial small subunit ribosomal RNA
Source: RNAcentral